Molecule: ribosomal RNA, 1260 nt
Filed under: Triticum aestivum (bread wheat)
Lineage: Eukaryota; Viridiplantae; Streptophyta; Magnoliopsida; Poales; Poaceae
Description: partial small subunit ribosomal RNA
Source: RNAcentral
AUGCGCGACCCUGUGGUGGCGUCCACCGGCCAGACGUAUGACCGGCCAUCAAUCAUACAGUGGAUCGGGGAGGGCCAUUCCACCUGCCCAAAUUCAGGGCAGGCGCUGGCAGACAAUCGCCUUGUGCCGAAUCGUGCACUCCGCAGUUUGAUAUCACAGUGGUGUGGGUUGUAUUGUUUCCAGUAUGAUUCCCCAGAGAGCAACGAGGGGAUGGCCGAAUGCGUCGCCGCCGCGUGCAGCAGCAAGGCGGCAAUCGAGGCGAAUAAGGCCACAGCCAGGAUUCUGGUCAGGAUGCUGGUGGAGAGUUCAGAUAGCUCAAAGGCAGUCGCUGCCAAGGAAAUUAGGUUGCUGGCCAAGGCUGGGAAGCAGAACAGAGCGUUCAUCGCCGAGCUCGGUGCAAUCCCGUUGCUCUGCAGGCUGCUCCUGUCAUCAGAUCAGAUAGCGCAAGAGAACGCAGUGACGGCGCUGCUCAAUCUCUCCAUUUACGAGCCGAACAAAACGCGGAUUAUGGAACAGGAGGGUUGCUUGUGGCUUAUCGUCAGCGUGUUGCAGAAUGGCUGGACUACAGAGGCCAGAGAGAAUGCAGCAGCAACUCUGUUUAGUCUCUCCGUGGUCCAUGAUUACAAGAAGAUGAUCAUGAAUGAGCCAGGGGCUCUGGAGAAGCUGGCUUGUAUGCUGAAAAAAGGGUCGCCAAGGGGGAGGAAAGAUGCAGUGAUGGCACUUUUCAACCUCUCAACUCAUGCAGAAAGCUCAGCUCGGAUGCUUGAGUCAAGUGCAGUUGUAGCUUUAAUCGAGUCACUGAGGAACGACACCGUGUCGGAGGAAGCUGCCGGUGCUCUGGCUCUGCUCAUGAAGCAGCCUUCUGUUGUGCAUCUUGUUGGGAGCUCUGAAACUGUGAUCAGUAGCCUCGUUGGAUUAAUGAGACGGGGAACUCCAAAGGGCAAGGAGAAUGCAGUGUCCGCUCUAUACGAGAUAUGUCGCCGUGGUGGCUCAACAUUGGUUCGGAGAGUAGCAAAGAUUCCGGGGUUGAAUACGGUAAUACAGAACAUCAUGCUCACUGGAACAAAGCGCGCCAAGAAGAAAGCAAGCUUGAUCGUCAAGAUGUGCCAAAGAAGCCAAAUGCCGUCAGCAAUGUCGCUAGGGACUAGCUUGAGGGUGGUUGAUCAUUCUUUGGUAGGUAACAGCUCGUUGAGGCGUGCUGCGAGCUUUGGCAGUGGAGAGUUGUCGAAUCCCGUUUCGAUAUCAGUGCACGUGCCCUAG